RNAcentral lists this ribosomal RNA (254 nucleotides) under uncultured bacterium. RNAcentral describes it as "partial 16S ribosomal RNA". It matches the Rfam family "Bacterial small subunit ribosomal RNA", at positions 524 to 776 of the family's 1533-position model. The record is from RNAcentral.
UACGUGAGGGGCGAACGUUGUUCGGUGUCACUGGGCGUAAAGGGCGCGUAGGCGGUCGUGACAAGUCACUUGUGAAAUCUCCGGGCUUAACUCGGAACGGUCAAGUGAUACUGUCGUGCUAGAGUACAGAAGGGGCAACUGGAAUUCUCGGUGUAGCGGUGAAAUGCGUAGAUAUCGAGAGGAACACCUGCGGCGAAGGCGGGUUGCUGGGCUGAUACUGACGCUGAGGCGCGAAAGCUAGGGGAGCGAACGGG